Small nucleolar RNA from Ornithorhynchus anatinus (platypus), 138 nucleotides. Lineage: Eukaryota; Metazoa; Chordata; Mammalia; Monotremata; Ornithorhynchidae. The record is from RefSeq and is a predicted model, not a curated record.
UCCUUCUCAAGAUCACACCUGGAGAGUUUCCAGUACUCUACCAGUCAUGGCUAUGAGAGGCACAGUCAAUCAAAGGCAUACCCAUUCCAUUCCUAGCUUUGGCAGUGGCUAGUGAGUGGGAGGCAAUCUGCUACAAGG